Molecule: small nuclear RNA, 107 nt
Filed under: Cervus elaphus hippelaphus
Lineage: Eukaryota; Metazoa; Chordata; Mammalia; Artiodactyla; Cervidae
Also listed under: 1 other name
Description: U2 spliceosomal RNA
Rfam family: U2 spliceosomal RNA
About the family: U2 is a small nuclear RNA (snRNA) component of the spliceosome (involved in pre-mRNA splicing). Complementary binding between U2 snRNA (in an area lying towards the 5' end but 3' to hairpin I) and the branchpoint sequence (BPS) of the intron results the bulging out of an unpaired adenosine, on the BPS, which initiates a nucleophilic attack at the intronic 5' splice site, thus starting the first of two transesterification reactions that mediate splicing.
Source: Rfam by way of RNAcentral
CUCGCUUCUCAGCCUUUUGGCUAGGAUCAAGUGUAGUAUCUGUUCUUAUCAGUUUAAAGCUAUGAUAUUAGAAGAGAUCUCCAUGAUUGAGUAUACACAGACAAGAU